CUUGGCCUCUUCUUGACAUGGUGAUGCCGUGCCGUCUGCCAACCAUCCUACUGCCCGCCUAUUAUUCUUCAGACUCUGGCACCUUCCUGAUUAUGUUAAUUAAUUCGAAUUAAUUAUCAACACACUUUGAUUUAGAAAGAUAACCUUCAAUCCUCACCCAUCAAAAGAACUAAAUAACAACAUGGAUAGUCGUCCAGCCUCCGAAGUCACGCCAAAGUCUAAGCCGAAGACGGCUCAGUCAACUAUCCGAGGGCGACGGCUUUUCCAAGAGGACGGCGAAGAAGAGAGUUCUCCGAGAAGCGAUCCAAAAAUGCCAAGGCUUCAGCGAUACGAUGCGAAUGACGGGAAAAGAAGAUGUUCUUGUUGUGAUUGUCAAUAGUAGAUCAAUACACAUAAUAAUAUAUUUUAAAUCUUUAUAAUGAACAGAGCAAACGAGUGGGGACA
Molecule: long non-coding RNA, 444 nt
Organism: Folsomia candida
Lineage: Eukaryota; Metazoa; Arthropoda; Collembola; Entomobryomorpha; Isotomidae
Exons: 3
Source: RefSeq, a predicted model, not a curated record